Molecule: long non-coding RNA, 1483 nt
Filed under: Phasianus colchicus (ring-necked pheasant)
Lineage: Eukaryota; Metazoa; Chordata; Aves; Galliformes; Phasianidae
Description: lncRNA (ENSPCLG00000005095.1)
Source: RNAcentral
AUUAAAAGUAUAAUUGACACUAUCUAGAAAGAAUAAUGCAUGUGCAUGAGCUACAUUGCUUUUAAAAUUCCAUGUUGUUCCAAUUACUGGAGUUUCUUAAUUUGUAUCAAUAACUGCAGGGCUUAGAAGAUUUUUAUUUGUAAUGGCUCAGAGCAGCAUAUCUUCUUUAGAAAAGUUGUAAAUCUUUCCUCAUGUGCAUGAAUCUUACUGUUGUGAUCCAGUGUGCAUGGGAACUAACACUGGGAAGUAAUUUUUAUAGACCCAUCGAGUCUGCUUUGUGGAAAACCUGCAAAGUCCCACAGGAACAUUCAAGUAUUUCUAUACAUCAUUAUUGGAUUGAUAAUAGAAUACUAUUACAUAAAUCAUAAAAGCAUCAAAUAAGUAAUUUAGGGAAAUUAUCACAACAUCCUACUCAGUAUCGCAUAUCACUUAAAAUUACCACACAUUUGAAAGGGGAGGAGAGCAAUGUUAGAAACAAGUGCUGUUCUCCCUCUGCUUAUCACGCUGCUCAGUCCUGCUGGCACCAGCUGUGUCUGCAAUGGACAGCCCUGGCUUCACCUCAUGGGGGCCCAGGGCUCACACCUGGGUUCAGACACCUGUGUGGUCAUUUGAGAAAUGGAAAGUCCCCUGUGCACACACAUUUGCCAGCUUCUGACAGUAACAUAAGGCUUCAGCUUCUACUUUCUGGAAAAGCCUUCAGAAUUUUCCAUGGAAAAUUUUCUGCUUCUGGGGAAAGAUCAGGGGAAGAUGGUUAUCAGUGGUGCAGUAGUGGUUUUGCUCCUUCCAUUUCAUUUGGAAAUGAUCCAUCAUGCCUGCAGUCUGCAACUUCAGCAUGCACAUCUGAUCAGGUUGAGUUUAUAGAAGAGACCCAGAUUUCUAAGUCUCAUGUCUCCACAUUAAAUCAAGAGUAUCAUCACUGGCUGUUUUCAGUAAGUUCUGUCUCUUUCUCUUCCUUGCAUGAGUUCUAGCAACAGGGGGUUGGAGAUCUUUUGAGGCAGAUAGUUGAGGGAAGGAGGGUUUAGCUCCACCAUCUUUAUAGCAUUAGAUGUUGUAUUGAUAUAUAGAAAAUAUAAGUAAUAUAAAUGUGUGAUUAGGAUAUAAUUUUAAAUUUGAAAGGAGAAUUUAACGAAGGAAAAUGUGAUAUAAAUAGGAAUUGGAGUGCUCUGUUCUGUAUACAUGUACACAAAAUUACAGGAUCCAAUGCUGGAGGGUUGUGUUCAGAACAGCCCGGUCUGUUCUGGCAUAUACAUAUGUAUGGACACUUGAUUCUGAAUAUCAGCAGAUUUUUCCGACUGGACUUCUGUGUGCUUGCAUGUGUUCUAAUUUUCAAGCACCUUUUGCAGUUAAAGCACAAAAAAACAUUUCAGAGGUUCUUUGGAUAUAGUAACUAUAGGAUUGUGUUGGUGUAGUGGCUCAAAUACAGGGCCUUGGUUUCUUUUCAGAUAAAAUAUUACUACGUAAGUACAAACAUCUUUGAAUACAU